RNAcentral lists this ribosomal RNA (527 nucleotides) under uncultured bacterium. RNAcentral describes it as "bacterial SSU rRNA". It matches the Rfam family "Bacterial small subunit ribosomal RNA", at positions 777 to 1304 of the family's 1533-position model. The record is from RNAcentral.
AAUAGAUACCCGGGUAGUCCACGCCGUAAACGAUGUCGACUUGGAGGUUGUUCCCUUGAGGAGUGGCUUCCGGAGCUAACGCGUUAAGUCGACCGCCUGGGGAGUACGGCCGCAAGGUUAAAACUCAAAUGAAUUGACGGGGGCCCGCACAAGCGGUGGAGCAUGUGGUUUAAUUCGAUGCAACGCGAAGGACCUUACCUACUCUUGACAUCCAGAGAACUUAGCAGAGAUGCUUUGGUGCCUUCGGGAACUCUGAGACAGGUGCUGCAUGGCUGUCGUCAGCUCGUGUUGUGAAAUGUUGGGUUAAGUCCCGCAACGAGCGCAACCCUUAUCCUUUGUUGCCAGCGGUUCGGCCGGGAACUCAAAGGAGACUGCCAGUGAUAAACUGGAGGAAGGUGGGGAUGACGUCAAGUCAUCAUGGCCCUUACGAGUAGGGCUACACACGUGCUACAAUGGCGUAUACAAAGAGAAGCGACCUCGCGAGAGCAAGCGGACCUCAUAAAGUACGUCGUAGUCCGGAUUGGAGU